AUGAGCUCUGAUGAAGGCAAGUAUAGCAGUCCAAAUGAGGGCGCCUACACCAGCUCUGAUGAAGACAAGAGCAGCAACUCUGAUGAAGGCGCUCACACCAUCCGUGCUAAAGGUGUGCAUAGGCGCAUGAAGGAAAAAAAGCCUUGGAAGGCAUGCAUGAACAUCUGUGAUUGCCCUAAAGAGUACACAGUUGGCUAUAAUCCAAUUACUAAUGCUAAAUGCAUGUAUUCAAAGAGAUUUAAGAUGUCAAUGUGUGCUUGGAAGCGUCUCAAGCAUUAUGUUGAAUCAGUUGAGCCUGCUAUCGGCCACUAUGUUUGUCAGCUGAAUAAGACUUUUGCCAAGCUUGGGCAGAGAAUGUACUUUUCAGCUGUGUUUAUGAAGAAGCAUCUGGCGGAUUUCAUCGCCACUUCUGUUGAUGGGGUGAAGAUUCAGCUAUCAUCUGGACGUUGCAUAAGGCGUGUUCUAUUAAUGGUGUGGACAACAGGGCUACCAUAA
RNAcentral lists this ribosomal RNA (495 nucleotides) under Triticum aestivum (bread wheat). Its description in RNAcentral is "partial small subunit ribosomal RNA". The record is from RNAcentral. Lineage: Eukaryota; Viridiplantae; Streptophyta; Magnoliopsida; Poales; Poaceae.